This 488-nucleotide unclassified non-coding RNA is filed under the name Hevea brasiliensis (rubber tree). Lineage: Eukaryota; Viridiplantae; Streptophyta; Magnoliopsida; Malpighiales; Euphorbiaceae. The record is from RNAcentral.
AUCCAAAAAUUUAUUCCUGCUUUCCUAAGAGUUUCAAUUGUUUCUGGUACACCAUCCUGCAGGCGAUCUUCUAUUGCAGUAACUCCAAGAACUUCAAGAUCGUGUUCUAAUCUCUGGCAGACUUCAGCUAUUCUCCACUCCCUAUCAACCAAUGCGCUACUGGCCUCUCUAAACAUCAAAUACCACUCAUGAUAUUCAUCCUCUUUUAAUUCCCGCCAGGCCAAGCAUAAUGUCCGCAGCCCCAAUUGGGCAUAUUGUUCUACAGCUUCACUAAAUGUCCUUGUUUGUUGUCCUGCAGCAGCAUAAGGAAGAAUAGCUUCAUCCGCUCCUUUUGACAAAAGGAUAAUCUUUCCAUUCUGGCAAUCUCUGACCACAACUGACAUCCUUUUCCUGUCAGAAGUGAACUCCAGAGUCUCCAACACUUCAUAAUGAAAUACAGAAGCAUUGUAUCUGGUCUCAAGAAUAUUUCCACUUCUAUUGAACAAAAC